GGCGACCGGCGCACGGGUGAGUAACACGUAUCCAACCUGCCGAUGACUCGGGGAUAGCCUUUCGAAAGAAAGAUUAAUACCCGAUGGCAUAGUUCUUCCGCAUGGUGGAACUAUUAAAGAAUUUCGGUCAUCGAUGGGGAUGCGUUCCAUUAGGUUGUUGGCGGGGUAACGGCCCACCAAGCCUUCGAUGGAUAGGGGUUCUGAGAGGAAGGUCCCCCACAUUGGAACUGAGACACGGUCCAAACUCCUACGGGAGGCAGCAUG
This 264-nucleotide ribosomal RNA is filed under the name uncultured bacterium. RNAcentral's name for it is "partial 16S ribosomal RNA". It matches the Rfam family "Bacterial small subunit ribosomal RNA", at positions 90 to 353 of the family's 1533-position model. The record is from RNAcentral.